GACAGAGGAUGCAAGCGUUAUCCGGAAUGAUUGGGCGUAAAGCGUCUGUAGGUGGCUUUUUAAGUCUGCCGUCAAAUCCCAGGGCUUAACCCUGGACAGGCGGUGGAAACUACCAAGCUGGAGUACGGUAGGGGCAGAGGGAAUUUCCGGUGGAGCGGUGAAAUGCGUAGAGAUCGGAAAGAACACCAACGGCGAAGGCAGCUCGCUGGGACGGUACUGACGCUGAGGCGCGAAAGCGUGGGGAGCAAACAGG
This 253-nucleotide ribosomal RNA is filed under the name uncultured bacterium. Its description in RNAcentral is "partial 16S ribosomal RNA". It matches the Rfam family "Bacterial small subunit ribosomal RNA", at positions 524 to 776 of the family's 1533-position model. The record is from RNAcentral.